This is a non-coding RNA of Lonchura striata (white-rumped munia), 2580 nucleotides long. NCBI's taxonomy places the organism in Eukaryota, Metazoa, Chordata, Aves, Passeriformes, Estrildidae. The record is from RefSeq and is a predicted model, not a curated record.
ACUCUGUUGGGUGCAAAAUGUCUCUCAAAGAGAGGACAAUGAGGUCCAGUGGCUCUGGGUAGGGAUCAUUGCUAAAGAUUACCACCCUCCUGCACCUCUUCUGAGCAUCUCUGUGACACUGUGGAUCUCCCAAAAAUAUGAUGAUUGCUGUUUGACCCACCAGUUAAGAAUAAUUUACAGUGCAGCAGUUUUGGCCCAACAGUCCCUUCUCACACAUUCCCCCUUCUGAAUAUGUAUGAUUUUAAUGGAGUUUGUGGACAUGUGUUUCUGGAUUAAUCUUGUGUUUCUGUGAAUAAAAUUUAUUAGUUCAUAUUGACCAUGUUAUUUUCCCAGCUGAGCUGUUCUUUGGGCAACUUGAAAUUCAGGUGUCUGUACUUAUAUUGUGCUGAAAGGCAUGAUUCCCAGUAGAUGGGAAACCUGCUGUGCCUGCUUGGAGAGGGACCUUUUUCAUCUCUGCCCAGCAAAGAGAGGAAUUUUAAGUCAACCUGGCUUUCCAUCCUCAGUUUGUAAUUCUGUUGCUAAGUGGCAAUGAAAGAAGAUUAUCAGCUCACAGAUUAACAGAAACCUCUAUUCAGUGCUCAUGUGUAAUUAUACAUUUCAGUUACAUACUUGAGAGCUGAGCUUUAGCUUCUGUGCUCCUACCUCAGCCUCACCCCACCAGAGAUUUUUAUCCUCAGGGUCUGAUCAGGAUUCUGAUAAAUUUGCCUUUCUUUUCCACACUCAGCCUCUGCACCCUGGGGUGGCUCUGCAUGCAAGAGUACCCCGAGGGUCUCUACUCUCAGGGUGGGUCUCAGAAACUAAAGUCCUACUCUAGUCUUUUGAAAUUAUUUAUUUUGGGAGAAAGCAGGAAGAGCAUAUAAAAUGGUCUAAAGAGUUCAGAACCUUCAGAGGUUACCUAUUUGCUUCCUCCAAUAAUAAAUUCCCUCUAUUUUUUUCUCUCUUUUCCAAGCUAAUAUGUUCCACUGUCUCAGCCAAAUUGGCCAAGCAGCAUCAAAAAGUGGAGGAAGACACAAGCCUGAGUGCCUGAGUAUGAAGAGGUAGCAUUGACUUUAUCAUGGACCAUGGCCAAUGGACCACUCCAGAAAAUGCAUCAAAACUUCUGAAAGAAAAAUGCUGUAGGGAGUCCUAAGGGAGCAAUCUUUUGAGAGCUGGAAUGUGCUGACAGGUGUCAAGAGGGUGGUGCCAGGCCCUGAAAGCAGUGCCCAGACACAGGACAAGGAGUAAUGGCCAUAAACUAACACUCGAGACAUUUCACCUCAACAUGAGGAGGAACCUUUUUCCAUCGAGGGUGGCAGAGCACUGGAACAGGUCAGAAUACUCCUUCUCAGUGAAAAACCUGAAUAAGAUAUCUGAGAAAUAAGUGAAGACACUCUGGAACAACAUCAUGUCUGCCCUUCCCUUUGGAUUUUGCACUGUGGAUGAAGCAUCCUGGCUCAGUCCCUUCCUUGCCCACUCCCUUCCUGCUUGCUGACAGGACAAUGUGAGCAGCAGAAAAGGCCUUGACACUUUGCAAGUGCUGUUCAGCAAUAACUAACACGUCCCCUAUGUUAGCAGCACUGUUCAGGUCACAAAUGUAAAGCAGCGCCACAGGUGCUCUAUGAAGAAAAUCAAUUCUAUCCCAGGCAAAAGCAGUACUAUGGGAUGCCAGACUGCACUAAAAAUUAUUAGAGUGAUUUGCAGAAAGGGGAUCACACUAAUGGGGUGAGAUCUCUGGAAAAUGAUAUACUGAAAUACAUCUUUUAAGUGUGUUAGUGGAUGUCUUGAAAGUUUAUGAUUUUUUAACCAGAAUGUUCAUUUAGAUAUCUCCUUCAAAAAACUUCCUUAAUCUUUAAUAGCCAACUACACUUCUAUACUGACCUGGAUUAAUUUACAAGUCAAAUUUUACUAUGGCUGCUUUGCCAGCUUCUGUUAUGGUGUUAUUGUACUUGUAACUUCUUUUAAUUUGACACUGCUUUGCAGGAAUUUUCUCGAAUUUGAAAGGUGAAGAACACAAUGGAAAAGGAAGUUAAUCUAUUUUUUAAAUUAGUUUAACCCUGUAUUUUAAAAAAAAUUCCUGUGCUAUGUGUCUCACAAGGAUUUUGAACUAAUCUUUUGAAGUAACACAAGAAGAGUGAGUCAGGAAAUUUAUCAGAGUCUAUAAUGGUGGUUGACUCUAUUCAAGUUGUAAGGGGUAUUUUCAUAUGAGAGAAGACCUUGUUCAGUAUCAUUCUAUCUUCCCUUUCUUUGAUAAGGGCACCCUAACUAACAUCAAGGAGGCUGUAAGGUCACUCUGUUUACACUUUGCUUCACAUGGUAUCAAAUAUUUAAAUGCUCAUUUAUUCAAAGAACAGGGGUGUGUGAGAAUGACCCCUGUGCUACUUGUUCAGGACAUGGUCCUUGAGAUCUGUUACAGUUUAUUUAUUAGGGACUUCAUCUACCCCAGGUGACAGCUGUUUAUCCAAAAUUCAGGAAGCUCAACUACCAACCAAUUCCACUAGCACCACCUGGAAAACUGUAUUUGAAGCAUUUUUUUUACCCAUCUAACACUAAGUGUAAUUUGCUUGCUUGCUUAAAGAGAUGCCUGAAAAACCUCACACAGAA